CUCAGUGAUACCUGUGUUCAGUGAUCAGAGCUGCUUAGAUCAGUUACACACAUUUAUAGUUUUGUGCCUAUCAAGCAGUGAAGGGUAAAAGUAAAAAAUGACAAAUUUGGAUUUGCAUGUAUUCCAUGUAUGGUGUCGUGUCCGUCGGGUAUUUACUGUAAUAGCUCGACUUGUCGUUUGGCAUUGGUCCACAGGCGUGAUGGCCCUGGAUUAGCUGCGGGGGAGAGUCCACAUGCCUCUGGUAUAAAGUUGCAGCAGCAACAGCAUUUUUAUUAAUAACCCAUAUCAAAGAAGUGAGUGCACGAGCUCAUGAUCUUGAUUUCCAUCGCAAGAGUCUGUUGACAGAAGUAGCAGCUUGCACCAAAUGUGAACUCACAGACCUGAUGUUGUAUUCUCUCUUUUCAAAAUCACGAUGUUGUGACGUGAAGAUGAUUCGCGUCUAUCGGUCCUGUACCUGGAAAAACUCCUAUGUUUUCUUUAGAAAUUCUUGACAGACUAAAAAAGGGCAAGAGUGAAACAAGGAGCCCAACCCCGUAUAGAAGGUGGCAGCGUUUAAUUAUAGCUCCUUCAUCUCAGACAUUUUCCUAUAGGAAACUGUAUCUGUUUCGGCAGAGGUGUGAAUCUUGACAGAAUAGCAAGACAAAUGCACAGAAGAUCCUAUAAGCCUGAGGGAAUGUCUCAUGAACAGCUGUUGCCAGUCUAGAGGUAAAGACGCAUACAAAUAUAGACCAUGACUGAGACUCAUUCUUCAGUUUUCUUCUUCUAGAAAAACUUUCGACAUGUUUCUGCUCUGUGUGUUAUUGCUUUGUCAUAACUGAACACAAACACAGAUGAUAGAUAGACACGUACUGUAUAGAUAAUAACGGGAUGAUGAUUAGCACAUAUACAGCCACCUGACAGGGCACUUUAAAUGAUAUCAAUGAUAGCAAUUGUGAUGUUUUGAAUGUAAAUUCUAAAAAAUGACUAAACAGCUUCGUUAUUAUUCUACUGCGAUGAGAUGAAUGUGGUAUGUGGUGCUAAAAAUUCAGAUGAUGGCCUUCUUUAAAAUGACCUUCACAUUGCUCAACAGCUUUACUUACAUCCAUCAAAGUCACUGCAGGACUUUCUUACCACUGUUACAGAUUAAAAACAUUUCAAUUUAUUAAUAUUACUGAUAUUAUAUUGUUUUAUUCAAGUUUAGAUUUACUAAUUCGCUUUCAUAUAUUGUGUUUUUGAAUAUUGUUUCCAUGUCAGAAUUAUGACCGAAGGCUCUAAAGACUUUUACGAUCAUUUAAGGAGGCAUUACACAACAAAAUGAGAAAAUUAAAAAACGAAACAGAAUUAAAGUGAUUCUCCAGCCAAAUAUCAAUCGAUUUUGUAAGAAGUUUUGAACCUGACAAAUCAAUAUGCACUAUACACCAGAUAUCAUGUGACCAUUACUAUUCUGGACUCUGGUUUCUCCUCGUGAUUUUUGUGAUGUAAAAAUUUGUGCCAUUUGUAUUAUUUGGCUUUAACCUCUGAAAUGAAGCUGAAGAUGCUGAUGGAUGUUGUAACUGGACCAUCUGGAUCAAACAGACAGCAUCAUUCUGGCAUCUGACAGCCACUUUAAAGGUGUUUUCUGAAAAGAAUUAAUUUUUGUAGGAAAUAUACACUAUAUCUCAUUCAUCUAUACAGUAGAUGUUCUAGCAGUGCCUCAUUUGUUUUCGGAGGUCUCUAUCUUAUCUCCUUCUGCAUGUGAGAGAGCCAGUGAAGACUGUUAGCGCCUCAUAGCUGCUAAGACAGGGUAAAUACAAACAUUUCAAUACAAAUGUUUCAUGCACAAAACUCUACAGGUGAGAAAAUGUCAACAUUACAUGAAGAAAUGUAUAUUUAGGUCUGUCUUGAAUUUUCAGGUUGGUGAAGUAUUAUUAAUAAGCAACAGAAAGGCAAUCAGAAGGAAUCUGCCUCAUGUAAACAGCAACAAGCAGAAAUCGAUUCACAUCUUAAUGCCUUUAGGUUUCUUCUCAUGAAAGCAAGAAUAUGAAAACAAAUUAGCACAUUCCCUUAGAAAACUAUGAAAGCAAAUGCUGAAUGUAAAUGAAUGCUUAUAAUGCAUUAGGCCACAUUAAGAAUACGCCUUAAUUGAAACUUUGCUUGUUGCAUUCAGAUUCUGUGCACAUCUCCCUCAUUUGCCUGUUUUAUUAAUAAGGCAGACAUCUCAUUUGGUAUCUGCUUGUUUACAUCACUAUAAACUCAAUAAUGUAAACUAUAUAAUAUUCUUCUCUAUAAACAUUACAGCUUUAUUCUCAUAGCACUGACUUUAUUCGUCAAAUAUUUUAUUCUUGUUAUAUUGACUUAAUCCUCACAAUAUUACGACUUUAUUCCUGUAAUCUUAUUUAUUUUGACAUUUUUUCUGAAAAAACUAUUAGUUUAAUCUCGCAUUAUAAUGACUUUAAUCUCGAGACGUUUUUUUAUUUUUUAUUUUAGCUUGGCUUUAAUCCUCAGCAUGUGUACACUUAAAAUGAGUAUAUUGUGAUCCCACUUGCCGUGACCAUAUUUGAGUUUCUGUGCACUCGUGUUUGCGUACCUACCUUGCUUCUUCACCACUCUGCAUGUUUUAUUCCUCAGUAGAUUUCACUUAACAUAUAAUUUCACAUUAUUUACAGGUACGGCAGUGAUUAUAAUUCCACCUGGGAUGUGGGGUAAAUUUUCUUUACAAAAGCAGUUUCCUUUGCAAUGCUUGUGUCUUUAUGUUUUCAGCGUGCAGGUGUGUUGUGAGUUAUCUUGUCACUCUUUGGUUUACCCAGAUGGAAUAAACGAGGAUGUAAUCAAGAAUCUUGGUAUCGGGUCUAUCUUCAUUCUGUCUGUCUUGUAACUAAAGAGUCUUUAGUUAUUCUGCACCCCAGCUCACAGCUCUGUACUGCCGGUUCAAGUUGUAUUGUUUUGUAACUAUUUGAUUAAAAUUUAUUUGUUAUUAUUGUUGUUCAGUAACCUUGAUUGUUUAAAAAGGCACCUUUAAAUAAAAUGUAUUGUUAUUACCAUUAUUAUUAAAGAAUGUAUGCUUUCA
Molecule: long non-coding RNA, 3025 nt
Organism: Misgurnus anguillicaudatus (oriental weatherfish)
Lineage: Eukaryota; Metazoa; Chordata; Actinopteri; Cypriniformes; Cobitidae
Source: RefSeq, a predicted model, not a curated record